AUGCCUCUGAGCUGGAAGCGCUUCCUGCAAGCUAAUGAGCUGGAGCUUUCCCUGGUGGCCAUCCCUGAGCGCAGCUCACUCUCAGACAAUCUGGCAAGAAGGGACGGGAGGGGCAAAGUGAGAAAAGCAAACCCUUUCCAAGCGGAGCUCAUGGAUCUUAGAAGGAUGUUUCAUUUACCUUGAAUUGGUUCAUUUUCAGAACGCUUAGCUGACUGGAAUUAAGGCAACCUCGAAAUGAAAUCUGUUUGAUGAGAUGGCCUCGAGUAGACUUGACAUCCGUAAGGUGUCCACAAAUUCAGAUGCUCCUGUUGGUCCUCCAUCCAAUCCAAACACCAAUAACUUCCAGUGCAAAUGCCAGUUUCCAGUAACCCAAGCCACGCCCCUGCGUGCCUCGCUGGAGCCCAAGGUUCAACAGCCGAGAAGCCAACCAUAUCAGGAGUCCUGACCUACCAGAAAGAGUCUCAUAUGGAGAAUGGCUGUGCAUAGCUGACUACUUCCUGCUGGGAAGACCAAGACCAUAGGUACCUAAGCAACCUGAGACACCCAAGGACUACAAGGGCAAGCUGAUCUGUAUUUUCAUGUCACUGCGCAUGGGAGAUACGCUAGCUCUGAGUGACAACAGCAUAUGGGGCAAUGCUAAGCAUUUCUUAGUUUUAGGAGGAAGAGGUGAAAAUUCACAUUUAAGCUAGGCAUGGAUUGGACUUGGAGAUACGGAGGGAAAGGUGAAAAUCUGAAAUUUUCCAACUUGAUUUCCUGGUCAGUGUAAUGUUAAAUUUUAAAGUAGUUUCUCAAGAAAAAUCUUUUAAUUGAACAUAAAAUGAUGAAGUAUAGAUCUGGGUCAAAUAUAUUUUCUCCCUUCUUCCUUUAUAGAUAGAUAGAUAGAUAGAUAGAUAGAUAGAUAGAUAGAUAGAUAGAUAGAUAGAUAGAUAGAUAGAUAACAGAAACAUACAGUUCUCUGAAGACUGAAAAUUCUGCUGGAUUUAUGGCUGUGCCAGUCCUCCUUGUAAGUUGUCGCUGUUUUUGUUUUGUCAUUUUGUUUUAUUUUUCUAUUUGUGAGGCUGGGUCUUUCUAGGUAGCCCUGGCUGGCCUGAUAACUUGCUAUGCAGUCUGAAUUGGCCUCGAGCUCCUGGCAAUCUUCCUGAGUUGAUGUCGCGUGUGCUGGGAUUACAGGCACGUGCUACCACACCUGUGUUACUUUGCUCUUAUUUUCCAGACCUCGUACCUGCAUUCUAAUUUAUUUAUUUAUUUCUGACACUCUGUCAAAGUAGCUGGCAGGAACCACUCAAGAGGAAAGGGCUUAUUUUGGCUCAGAGUUUCUGAGGACUCCAUCCACAGUCGUGGAGGAGACACGGAGGCAGAAGUGGCUGAGUCCACGUAAGGUCUCAGACGGUGACGGUUUGAGUCCCUAGGCGAUGCUCGCUCUGUGGGGCCUGUCCUGGAAACAAGGAGCUGGACUGGAUCCGGAGGUCUGUAUAGUAAACUUCUUCUGUUUGCCAGGCCACACAGUCCCGCGGUCCACAGCCUCCCAAAACAGCUCCCCGAGUUGGUGAGCUUUGAAAUACAUGCACUUCCAGGGACGUAAUGUAUGGAAAUGAUCUUGCACCUCCCCAUGGGUAAUCUUUGUCCAGGUGAAUUGAAAGGGCCCUUCUUGCGGGAGUGAGCUGAAUUGCUAAGUAGAGUUCCGUUAGUCUACUGGCAGAUUAAUAAGUGAUCACUUGUCCGGAAGUACUUUAUGGAUUAAGAGAAUGCCCACCGGAACAUCUACAGAGAAGCUAUUUUUAUAAUACAGAAUAUUUAUUUGACUCACACAGAAUAUUUCUUUGUCUUUCUGGGCCACAUUGUUGAAUUUAAGGAAUAAAAUUACUGUUUUAAAUUACUUUACAUUAAAAAAUGUAUUCAACUGUUGGGCAGAGGACAUGGAAUCUUAUGUAAGAAGUGGGAAAUAGUAAGAGCUGGAGAGGACGGAAACCACGCAAGGAGAGCAGCAGAACCAGAAAAUUUGAACACAGGGAACUUCCCAGAGACUCAUUCUCCAACCAAGGACUAUUCAUGGAGAUAACCUAGAACCCCUGCACAGAUGUAGCCCAUGGCAGUUUAGUGUCCAAGUGGGUUACAUAGUAAUGGGAAGAGACACUGCCUCUGACAUAAUCUGAUUGGCCUGCUCUUUGAUCACCUCCUUCUGAGGGGGGAGCAGCCUUACCAGGCCACAGAUGAUGACAAUGCAGCCACUCCUGAUCAGAUCUGAUAGACUAAGAUCAGAAAGAAGGAGAAGAGGACUUCCCCUAUCAGUGGA
Long non-coding RNA from Meriones unguiculatus (Mongolian gerbil), 2293 nucleotides. RefSeq lists it as uncharacterized. The transcript is spliced from 3 exons. The record is from RefSeq and is a predicted model, not a curated record. Lineage: Eukaryota; Metazoa; Chordata; Mammalia; Rodentia; Muridae.